Molecule: ribosomal RNA, 521 nt
Filed under: Trichoderma koningiopsis
Lineage: Eukaryota; Fungi; Ascomycota; Sordariomycetes; Hypocreales; Hypocreaceae
Description: eukaryotic LSU rRNA
Rfam family: 5.8S ribosomal RNA (bases 156-309)
Source: RNAcentral
AACCAUACCAAACUGUUGCCUCGGCGGGGUCACGCCCCGGGUGCGUCGCAGCCCCGGAACCAGGCGCCCGCCGGAGGGACCAACCAAACUCUUUCUGUAGUCCCCUCGCGGACGUUAUUUCUUACAGCUCUGAGCAAAAAUUCAAAAUGAAUCAAAACUUUCAACAACGGAUCUCUUGGUUCUGGCAUCGAUGAAGAACGCAGCGAAAUGCGAUAAGUAAUGUGAAUUGCAGAAUUCAGUGAAUCAUCGAAUCUUUGAACGCACAUUGCGCCCGCCAGUAUUCUGGCGGGCAUGCCUGUCCGAGCGUCAUUUCAACCCUCGAACCCCUCCGGGGGGUCGGCGUUGGGGAUCGGGAACCCCUAAGACGGGAUCCCGGCCCCGAAAUACAGUGGCGGUCUCGCCGCAGCCUCUCCUGCGCAGUAGUUUGCACAACUCGCACCGGGAGCGCGGCGCGUCCACGUCCGUAAAACACCCAACUUCUGAAAUGUUGACCUCGGAUCAGGUAGGAAUACCCGCUGAAC